RNAcentral lists this non-coding RNA (30 nucleotides) under Rattus norvegicus (Norway rat). Lineage: Eukaryota; Metazoa; Chordata; Mammalia; Rodentia; Muridae. The record is from RNAcentral.
UAUCACCCCAGCUUCCUGAUUGGUGCAAUU